Xiphophorus couchianus (Monterrey platyfish) is the source of this 2678-nucleotide long non-coding RNA. RefSeq lists it as uncharacterized. The record is from RefSeq and is a predicted model, not a curated record. The transcript is spliced from 2 exons. Lineage: Eukaryota; Metazoa; Chordata; Actinopteri; Cyprinodontiformes; Poeciliidae.
GCGACUUUGGAGAAGACGGACGGCAGUUUGGCGGGGAUGAAGAGACCGGAGAGGGAGAGAUGUUUCUAUGCAAAGCGCGGCCAGUCAGGAAACUUUAACUGAGAUUUCCACAUGGAAGAGGACUUUGCUCCCUUCUUUUCCUCAUCCUGCCAGCGCAUCAGCACCUUGGCUUUAGACUGCUUACUGCUUAUACAGUGUCACAGUACAGUAACAGUCUACAGUCAUGGCUACUGAAGCCUGGCGAUUCAUCAGACACCUCUGCGAGGGGAGUGUAGAUGUGGAAAACAGCCCAGUGACAGUGCGCAGUGCUUUUAAAAUGGCCGACCUGAUAGCAGAGUGUCAACGUGUGAGUCAGUGAUCUCGCUCCGUCUCUCUUUUUCUCUCUCUCUCUCUUUCCUUCUCUCCCGCUGUGUCUGUUUUUUCCCUCCUGCUAAGAGAGGAAACCUGUGUGGGCUUGCAUUGGGGGAGUCCUGCACCCUGCAAGUGCGUAACGUUCACACUAAAACCAAUGAGACGUUGCAGUUUCCAGUUACCAUGCCAACUCCAGCUCCACCUCAACCCGGCUGUCUCCAUGGUGACCGUGGCUUUAGAUUGUUACUCUAGCAACAGCACCAUGGUAACAGUCUACAGCCAUGGUCGUUAGGGGCAGAUGUCAUCAGGAGCAGAAAAUUUGAGGUCAAUAAGUUUUAUGUGUUUGUUAAAGAAAAACAUUGAAAAUUCUUUUUAAAUAGCAAUGUUAUCUAUCUAUCUAUCUAUCUAUCUAUCUAUCUAUCUAUCUAUCUAUCUAUCUAUCUAUCUAUCUAUCUAUCUAUCUAAAUACAUACACAAUCAGGAAUUAUUAAUAAUAAAUAGUUUGAAUUUCUAUCAUAUGCUCCAACAGAUGGAAUCAAUUAUUUAAGAGGAAACAAUUGGAAAGGGUUUAAGUUUAUUUUAUUAAUCAGUUUAUCAAUAGUUUUAUUUUGUAGAACAUUAUACUAAUCCUAUGUACAGUAGUUGUGCAGUCAAGCAUGAAUUAAUUUUCUCAUGUCAAGUUUCAUUAAAAGGAAUUUGACUUAGAUGGUCCAGCUUUGAUGAAAUGAGCCUUUGGAUGCGCUACGUAUUGAUUAUUGAAGAAUAAGAUAAAAUCCAAAGUCAGGCCUACAUUUAAACCAGCAGGGAUAAUAACAACAAAAAAGUUUUUAUGUUUCACAGAAUUUUCACCUACAAAAUUAAUCUUCACUUUUUCAUUAUUAUUCAAAAUCCAGAGCAUUUCUUUGUACCUUCAGUCAUUUAGGACACAUGUGCACACACUUUGCUCCUUUUUAACUUUUUCUUUAUUAUGUAUAGCAUGUUGUUUAUUCAUUACAGUACAGUGAUCAAUGCAACCAGUAUGUGCUGCACAGAUGAGUCAGCUGGCUCCAGCACCUGUUCUGCUCUCUGUUUACCAGACCAGAGCGGCUCUACUUCAGAGCAGCAAAGCCAGGAAUCCCCUUUGGGCAUCAGCUCUGAUAUCUGCAGGCAGAUUCAAGAACAUUCUGGCUGCUACACCGGUGGAAUAACACAUACGUAUAGAAAUGCACACACAGAAACAUAUAUACUUGGUAUCAGCAUGCAACAAACACAUAUACUCAGAAAUAAAAUAGAUCCAAGCACUCAAACGCUGCAAUAUCCAGAGUUAGCCUGCCCUCUGGCGGGCAGAUUAUGUCAGUGUUCUGAGAUGUAAUUUAUUCAAUUAAACAUCUUAAAAAUAAAUUUAUGAAGGUCUUUUGAAUUCAUUUUGAGUCUGAUUUACUAGAAUACAUGACUUCUGUGACAGAUAAGACAAGAUAUGAUCUCUCUUUGGGAUGUAGAAAGAGAUGUUUAUGCACCUUCAUACAAAAUAUCUAUCUAUCUAUCUAUCUAUCUAUCUAUCUAUCUAUCUAUCUAUCUAUCUAUCUAUCUAUCUAUCUAUCUAUCUAUCUAUCUAUCUAUCUAUCUAUCUAUCUAUCUAUCUAUCUAUCUAUCUAUCUAUAAAAUGUCAUGACAUUAUCAAUGCUUUUGUUUUUCAAAAAAUGUUUUUCAAAGCAAUUAUUGUUUAACAGAUAGGAGAUAAAAUGUCAAUGGAUUGUCUCCAAAGUUAUCUAAUUAAUAAAAAAGAAUGCUAAAUAAUUAAAAUGACCACAGGAUAUUUUUAAAUCAUGAGAGAUUUAGAUUGAAAUCCGCCAGUUACCAAAAAGUCACCAUUUUUACAUUGAACCAGUUGAUUUUAUUUUUAGACCACUUCUACAGUAAAUAUAUAACUUAUAAGUAUGAAUUCAUCCAAAUAUUUCUUUGGAUUAAUUCAUCAAUUCAUCCAAAGAAUUUUUAAAAAGUAAAUACACUUACUUUCUUUAAAGGUCAGCAGUACAUGGUUAUCAAAGAUUAAUGAAUACCAAAUAUUUAACAAUCUCAGGUUAAUGGUAAAAUGCACCAGGUUACCAUUAACCAUCCUUCUCACCCAUUCCCAAUACAAAUGUAGAGAACCAUCUAAAUUAUGAGAUGGAUUAUUGAAUCAAUCAAUCCUCUGGGUAUGAUAGGUUAUUAUAAUAAUAAUAUGAUAUAGUCUUUCACAUAUGUAUUUUAAUUUGACCAUAUUCACUGUCUUUUUACUUAAACCAACAUAUUUAAUGUGCACUGAUUUUCUGAGGUGCUGUAAAGUAAAUAAAAACUGAUGAUCAGAA